RNAcentral lists this ribosomal RNA (460 nucleotides) under uncultured bacterium. Its description in RNAcentral is "partial 16S ribosomal RNA". It matches the Rfam family "Bacterial small subunit ribosomal RNA", at positions 338 to 795 of the family's 1533-position model. The record is from RNAcentral.
CCUACGGGUGGCUGCAGUGAGGAAUAUUGGUCAAUGGGCGGAAGCCUGAACCAGCCAAGUCGCGUGCAGGAUGACGGCCCUACGGGUUGUAAACUGCUUUUAUACGGGAAUAACGCGCCUUACGUGUAGGGCUUUGCAUGUACCGUAUGAAUAAGGACCGGCUAAUUCCGUUCCAGCAGCCGAGGUAAUACGGAAGGUCCGGGCGUUAUCCGGAUUUAUUGGGCUUAAAGGGAGCGUAGGCCGCAUGUCAAGCGUGCUGUGAAAUGUCCGGGCUCAACCCGGGCCUUGCAGCGCGAACUGGCGGGCUUGAGUCUGCGGAAGGCAGGUGGAAUUCGUGGUGUAGCGGUGAAAUGCGUAGAUAUGACGAAGAACCCCGAUUGCGAAGGCAGCUUGCUGCAGCGGAACUGACGCUGAUGCUCGAAAGCGCGGGUAUCGAACAGGAUUAGAUACCCUUGUAGUC